Small nucleolar RNA from Solanum stenotomum, 132 nucleotides. The record is from RefSeq and is a predicted model, not a curated record. NCBI's taxonomy places the organism in Eukaryota, Viridiplantae, Streptophyta, Magnoliopsida, Solanales, Solanaceae.
AUCCUAAAUAACCUGAGUUAUUACAAGUGCUUAUUUGAUUCAUAGGAGACCUAAAUCAAAGUCACAAAUGGACUUUUCGCUGAGAACGCUUUCUCUUCCAGGAGGUGUUUACUAGUCUAUUCCCAUACUUCU